GAUGAACGCUGGCGGCGUGCCUAAUACAUGCAAGUCGAGCGAACAGACGAGGAGCUUGCUCCUCUGACGUUAGCGGCGGACGGGUGAGUAACACGUGGAUAACCUACCUAUAAGACUGGGAUAACUUCGGGAAACCGGAGCUAAUACCGGAUAAUAUAUUGAACCGCAUGGUUCAAUAGUGAAAGACGGUUUUGCUGUCACUUAUAGAUGGAUCCGCGCCGCAUUAGCUAGUUGGUAAGGUAACGGCUUACCAAGGCAACGAUGCGUAGCCGACCUGAGAGGGGGAUAGGCCACACUGGAACUGAGACACGGUCCAGACUCCUACGGGAGGCAGCAGUAGGGAAUCUUCCGCAAUGGGCGAAAGCCUGACGGAGCAACGCCGCGUGAGUGAUGAAGGUCUUCGGAUCGUAAAACUCUGUUAUUAGGGAAGAACAAAUGUGUAAGUAACUAUGCACGUCUUGACGGUACCUAAUCAGAAAGCCACGGCUAACUACGUG
Molecule: ribosomal RNA, 497 nt
Filed under: uncultured bacterium
Lineage: Bacteria
Description: partial 16S ribosomal RNA
Rfam family: Bacterial small subunit ribosomal RNA
Source: RNAcentral